AUGUGGUGUAUAGUGUCACACUAGAUUUUCGUUCUAGGGGAGUAAUUUUAAUGUUACCAU
Molecule: transfer RNA, 60 nt
Filed under: Calliotropis micraulax
Lineage: Eukaryota; Metazoa; Mollusca; Gastropoda; Seguenziida; Calliotropidae
Description: tRNA-Glu
Source: RNAcentral